This 220-nucleotide ribosomal RNA is filed under the name uncultured bacterium. RNAcentral's name for it is "partial 16S ribosomal RNA". It matches the Rfam family "Bacterial small subunit ribosomal RNA", at positions 57 to 305 of the family's 1533-position model. The record is from RNAcentral.
GCAAGUCGAGCGCACUCUUCGGAGUGAGCGGCGGACGGGUUAGUAACGCGUGGGAACAUACCCUUCUCUACGGAAUAGCCUCGGGAAACUGAGAGUAAUACCUUAUACGCCCUUCGGGGGAAAGAUUUAUCGGAAUUGGAUUAGCCCGCGUUAGAUUAGAUAGUUGGUGGGGUAACGGCCUACCAAGUCGACGAUCUAUAGCUGGUUUGAGAGGAUGAUC